GACCUCAGAUCAGACGAGACGACCCGCUGAAUUUAAGCAUAU
RNAcentral lists this ribosomal RNA (42 nucleotides) under Anelosimus rupununi. Its description in RNAcentral is "partial 28S ribosomal RNA". The record is from RNAcentral. Lineage: Eukaryota; Metazoa; Arthropoda; Arachnida; Araneae; Theridiidae.